GGAAGUUCUCGGGGCGGGGUGUGAUUCCCCACCGGCGGUAAAGGUGAAGACCUGGUUUUUCUCCUAGCCCGCGAGCGCCUUCACCUCGGUGGAGGGUCCAGCAGAUUCCGGUGAGAUCCCGGAGCCGACGGUUACAGUCCGGACGUGAGAGAACACCA
Molecule: non-coding RNA, 158 nt
Filed under: Williamsia sp.
Lineage: Bacteria; Bacillati; Actinomycetota; Actinomycetes; Mycobacteriales; Nocardiaceae
Also listed under: 1 other name
Description: FMN sequence
Rfam family: FMN riboswitch aptamer (RFN element)
About the family: The RFN element is a highly conserved domain that is found frequently in the 5'-untranslated regions of prokaryotic mRNAs that encode for flavin mononucleotide (FMN) biosynthesis and transport proteins.
Source: RNAcentral